UCGUACAAACGGUUAAGCCCCAUUUAGUCCACAUCCCAUGAGAGAGAACGGGGGGCUACUCCAUGCACUCAGUGUGGGGGUGAGAAGACUCAGGAAGGGAGAGGAGAUGAGCUGAGGAGAAAAAAUAGAAGAUUUCUAGGAAGAAAACGGGGCAGGUCUUAUCUUGGUACAUCACAGGGAUCUUGUUACAAUGGCAUUACAACAAGGAAAAGUGAAUCUCCUUUUGGGUAGAAUUGCCCAUUGCCCAUUCUGCCCUGUUCUUCCUUUGCUAAGGGGGAGGUCAGAGCCUCUCUCUCAGUCCAGGCAGGACAGUGUGGCUGUGACCCAGCUAAUGUCAACACCAGAACGAUGAUUCAGUUUGAACUAGUGCCCCAGGUGCCGAUCGGCUACCGAUCGGCUAACCUCCAGGCUCUGACGUCCCCUCUGGGGUCCUGCUGCUCCCUACCAAGUCCAGCUUAAGGCUGGCGUGGCUCUGAGACUGUGAGAAAGGCCUGGGCUGGGGUGAUCAUAUCAAGAGGGGCCUGGAGCCGCAUUUUCUGUCCGCCAAUAAAAAAUGUUCCUCCAUUUUUUUAAAGGUGGCUGGUAUGAGUAAGAACAGGCAGGAGGGAAACCUUCUGUGUCAAGGACUGUCUCUUCAAGGAAUGGCCCUCAGGCUGGGGGGUGGCGGGGGGGGGGGGCGCUCUGUGCUGCUAGCUGGCACCUCAUUUGCCACCCCCUCCCCCGGGCAGCCUCUUGCUUUCAUUUUCCCUGAAUGUACGUAGGAACAGGGGAGGGAAGUCUCUUACUGAAGUGCCUGAAACCCAGAGCUGGAGCUUCUAGAGACGCCGUUCUUCCGGUCUCAGCUUGGCCUACCUUUCCCCGAGGUUCUCUGGUCUCAUGCUCCAGCUUCUCACAAAGAAUAAAAGAACUUGCUGUUCUAAUGAAGGAGAAAGCGAGACCCAGUAAUCAAUCUACAGCAAAAGGCAGAGAAUUACAGGGAAAAACAACUUGUAUCUUAACAGCCCAAAUCUAUUCUCCCAAACUACACACACACACACACACACACAUACACGUUAGGGGACUAAGAGAAGCAUGUUAUAUUUUAUUUGUCAAAAAUCCAUCAGUGGAGUAUGAAAAGCUCAGGCUCUCUCCCACGGCUACUGCGGGAAGGCCAACAGAGGAGGUGGAAAGGGCAGAGCUCAUCCAGUUAGGACACCUUAGGAAUAGCCUUGUGGUAAAGAAGAUGAAGAUGCUUGGUUGACUUCAUCCAAUCUGCACCUUCCUAUGGCUGCUCAGUAAACUCAACGCGUGGUUUCUCAGCUGUGUGCGUUGGGAGUGUCCUAUUAAUCUGUGCCCGUUCGUUAGGACUGAGUUCCACACGUUCCCUCCUCAGUCCCAGGGCCCAGAACGCAGCUGUAUCCAGGAGGUCUCAAGGAUUGACAUGGGGAGGGGGAAGUUUUUUGUUUUGUUUUUUUUUUAGUCACUUUUUGGUCAGUGAUUUGGCCAUUUUAAGAGCAAGAUUUGCUUUAUGGAAACCAAUUCAUUCACAAAACCUACACUCGAGUUGCAACACCAUUUCACAGUGAAAUAUUUUGAGUGAAAUUUUGUUGCUUAGAAUAGUCACAGACAAAAGUUUUAUCAGCAAUAUGUUUCCAUUAUGUUAAUAAACAAGACAAUGCUACUGGAGUCCCUUGUCUUGGUCUAGAAUCUUCUCUGUGGGUUGCAGUAUAUAUCACUUUUUCUUCAUAGUCCUACUUGACAGGUGACAAUAGCUGUAAAAAUGUUCUUGGAGAUUUUCUGCCUGGUUUAGCUGAUGCCACAUGUGUAAUAUGAAAGUAUUUACAAACACACCCAAGGGGCAGAAGCAGGGAAGAGUUAAUUAGCAAUUUUGUGAACUGUGCCUAAGUUUUCUCAGCUAAAAAAAAUAAAAUAAAUUUUAGAUUCUAUCUAAAUCUGCAUAGUCUGGUAUUGGUUAGCUUUAACUCCUUAAUGAAGUUAGUUCUUUAUGAAAUAAAAAUUUCUAAAAAUUACAAACUUGAAUAACUUUUUGGCAUAGGAGAUCUUAAGAGAGAAGUUGCUAAACUCGCACAUUGUCUUGGCAAUGUAAAAAAGCAAUAAAUGAAUAAGUUUUUAAUUGCCCAA
This is a long non-coding RNA of Myotis davidii, 2121 nucleotides long. RefSeq lists it as uncharacterized. NCBI's taxonomy places the organism in Eukaryota, Metazoa, Chordata, Mammalia, Chiroptera, Vespertilionidae. The transcript has 2 exons. The record is from RefSeq and is a predicted model, not a curated record.